GCCAGGCAUAGUGGUGUGUGCCUGUAGUCCCAGCUACUUGGGAGGCCAAGGUGGGAGGAUCGCUUGAGCCCAGGAGGUCAAGGCAGCGGUGGGCUGAAAUUGUGCCACUGCACUCCAGCCUGGGCCACAGAGUGAGAUCCUAUCUCAA
This is a non-coding RNA of Gorilla gorilla gorilla (western lowland gorilla), 148 nucleotides long. It matches the Rfam family "Metazoan signal recognition particle RNA". From Rfam's summary of the family: The signal recognition particle (SRP) is a universally conserved ribonucleoprotein. Lineage: Eukaryota; Metazoa; Chordata; Mammalia; Primates; Hominidae. The record is from Rfam.